Molecule: small nucleolar RNA, 70 nt
Filed under: Notamacropus eugenii (tammar wallaby)
Lineage: Eukaryota; Metazoa; Chordata; Mammalia; Diprotodontia; Macropodidae
Source: RNAcentral
CUGGAUAUGAUGAACAAGUUACUGUUUGAUGUCAAACUGAUCUCUAUUGUAUUCUUACUGUUUGAUCCGG